UGUCUUCCACGUACCACGCUCCCGAACCAGUGUACCAUGCCCCUUCCCACUACAAGCAGCCUGAAUACCCUACCGUACCACCAAAGUACAACUACAACUACGGUGUUGUCGAUGGCUAUUCCGGCGCCAACUCGCCGCCCUCGGAGUCCCGCGACGGCUACAAGACCGAGGGCAGCUACACCGUGGACCUCCCCGACGGCCGCAAGCAGAUCGUCAAAUACGUGGACAACGGCGACGGUCUCGUAGCUGAGGUCACCUACGAGGGCGAGGCUCAGUACCCCGAGUACAAGCCCACCUACAAGCCCGCUCCCUACCACGCUCCCCCGAAGUACCCCGUGUACUAAGUGUGCACCCUCAAGCACAACACACUUUCCCUCUAUCUCAACCCAUCCAUCAUAUGUGCCAAAGCAUAACCAAUGAGUUCUGCUUGACACUGCAUAGAUGGGUUAAGAAUAUGUGAUAUUAUUUAGAUUUCCUUUUAUAAUAAAAUAUAUCCAAAAGAA
This 503-nucleotide long non-coding RNA is filed under the name Penaeus japonicus. RNAcentral's name for it is "uncharacterized LOC122249006". The record is from RNAcentral. Lineage: Eukaryota; Metazoa; Arthropoda; Malacostraca; Decapoda; Penaeidae.